UGGCUUUGUUGGUGCAUCUCAGUGGCGGUU
Molecule: non-coding RNA, 30 nt
Filed under: Homo sapiens (human)
Lineage: Eukaryota; Metazoa; Chordata; Mammalia; Primates; Hominidae
Source: RNAcentral